This is a long non-coding RNA of Drosophila simulans, 1291 nucleotides long. RefSeq lists it as uncharacterized. The record is from RefSeq and is a predicted model, not a curated record. The transcript has 2 exons. NCBI's taxonomy places the organism in Eukaryota, Metazoa, Arthropoda, Insecta, Diptera, Drosophilidae.
GAAGCAAGCACUCCAAUUAAUUUCAUAUCAAUUUCGAAACCCAAACGCAACAAUUAACCAAGUAAGCCGCCAGGCUUAUUGUAAACCCUGUUCUGCCUCAUUUUCCAUUUAAAAAUCCAUCAAGCACCAGUUAAGUUUAAUCCAAUAUAAAAGCCCCAAUCAAAGAAAAGCGAAUGGGGAAACCCCCGAGUUCAACCCUGGCCAUGGUCUAUUUUCUGAUCCGUGAACGGCAAUAUAAAUUUCAUAUACACACAAGCGAAAACCUCUGUGUGUGGGGGAAAAUGGAACAUGUUCAUUUUAAAAAUAGAUUUAUUGAUUGUAACAAAUUUUUAUAUUUCACUAGAGCAAGAAGGAAGACCAGAAAACAGGUCCCACCCUCUGGAAAACCCACCGAACCAUCCAACCAACACCCUCGACAGCUGAGCUUGCCAAGGGCGGAGGUCUUUAUAUACAUAUAUAUAUAUUUAGACGGUUGACAGGUUUGCCAUCUUCAUCACCGUCAAUUCAGAUGAACACCCAAAAAGAGACUUGCGCAGACUUGCGGACCACCACUUACCAAAACUUCGUAGCAGAUUUCCCUCAGCUCCUUCUCCACGCGCUCUCUGUACUCACGGGCGAGCUGCUGUUUUCUAGCGGAUGCUUCGGUUUUCUGCUCAAUGGAGGAGAUGACACGCCACGAUGACCUGGUUUGGACAUGUUAAACACACCCAGAGAAGGGGCAGAAACAUAUAGCUUAGCACUUGAACUCCAAUCUAUGGUGCGACAUUAAUCAAUCGGUGAUUGAUUGACUCACCUGCGGGCACCGACCACAUUUUUGUAGGCAACGGAGAGCAGAUUUCUUUCCUCAUUUGAGAGCUCAACGCCAGUCUCUGUGACGGACUUCAUGGCCUGGGCCAUAUCAUCGUAACUGCAUAGAAAAUAUUCCAUUAGUAAUUGGAAAUAUUUCGUCAUGUAGAUGACAAAAAUAUGUGCAUGCUUUUAAUUUUGGAGAACAACUUAAAUGAUAUAUUUUUCAUUAGAAGAUGUUUUCAAAUAGAUUAAAUAAAUCAGAAAACAAUGUUAAAUUUUAGAGUUCUUAUAACUUCCAAAUAUGUCUUUUUUAGUUACUGUAUGACAUUUGGUUUUAUAUAUUAUGUGCAACUAUAACUUUUGUCAAAUCUUUUGAAGUUCUGUGAGGUUGAUGAACUUUAUUAUAUGAUGAACCACUUACCGUUCUGACUGCUCGGCCAGUUUAGCCUUCUGGACCAGCUCUUCCUUAUCGACUGUCGACAUUUUGUUUGAUUUUUUUUUU